RNAcentral lists this unclassified non-coding RNA (201 nucleotides) under rhizosphere metagenome. Its description in RNAcentral is "partial ribosomal RNA internal transcribed spacer region". The record is from RNAcentral.
GAGUUAGGGUCUUUGGCCCGAUCUCCAACCCUGUGUCUAGCUACCAUGUUGCUUUGGCGGGCCCGCCUGUCAUGGGCCGUCGGGGGUCCCGUACCUCUGGCCCGCGUCCGCCAGUAGCCUUCUUUAAAUUCUUUAUAACUGUGUUGUCUGAGUACAAAUAUAAAAUCGUCAAAAACUUUCAACAACGGAUCUCUUGGUUCU